RNAcentral lists this ribosomal RNA (413 nucleotides) under uncultured bacterium. RNAcentral's name for it is "bacterial SSU rRNA". It matches the Rfam family "Bacterial small subunit ribosomal RNA", at positions 505 to 916 of the family's 1533-position model. The record is from RNAcentral.
GUGCCAGCCGCCGCGGUAAUACGUAGGGGGCGAGCGUUGUCCGGAAUCACUGGGCGUAAAGGGCGCGUAGGCGGUCAGGUAAGUCAGAUGUGAAAGACCGAGGCUCAACCUUGGGGUUGCAUUUGAAACUGCUUGACUUGAGUGCAGGAGAGGGAAGUGGAAUUCCUAGUGUAGCGGUGAAAUGCGUAGAUAUUAGGAGGAACACCAGUGGCGAAGGCGGCUUCCUGGACUGUAACUGACGCUGAGGCACGAAAGCGUGGGGAGCAAACAGGAUUAGAUACCCUGGCAGUCCACGCCGUAAACGAUGGAUACUAGGUGUAGGGGGUAUCGACCCCUUCUGUGCCGUAGUUAACGCAAUAAGUAUCCCGCCUGGGGAGUACGGCCGCAAGGUUGAAACUCAAAGAAAUUGACGG